AAUAAGUCAACAGGCGAUCUUUGGCUAUUUCUUGUGUCAUAUGGGACCUCAGAGUUUGAACUCUGUGUCUAAGGCUCAGAUUAAACGUUCUCCUCGCACCCGCUGACCCCUGCUGAUGUCAUCUCAACCCCUUACCUCACUCCCAUUUUCCUCUAGUCUAAUUUUAGAUGUAAGACAAAACUUGCAUUUCAGGCUAAGAGCACUUAAUAAAUUACCCCCACUUUUCUGUUCUCUCUUCUGUCUCUGGCCUUUUCUUUCUUUUUUUCCUCAGUCUUGAAUAUGGCUUUUGAGACUUGAGGUAUUUUAAAAGGCUUUAUGGGAAAUGUAUGUGCAGAUGUUCAGAAGCAACAGCAUGGCCGGUCCAUAAAGGAACUGCCAUUUUAAACACUCAUUGUGAGCGGAGAAACACGUCAAUACCAGAACUGAAAAGGCCUGCCUACUUAACCUCAGAGCUUUCACGAAAAAUUCUCAUAAAUUACAGGCUGCCACUAGCAUUAAGGCAGGUAAUUUUCCCCCGUGUUUUUUUUUUUCUUCUUCUUCUUCUAUCUUCUUUUCUCUUUCCUUGACACACAAAAAAGUCCUGUGACCUCUUCCGCAAAAGAACGGGCAGACAACUAAAAGAUUUUCUUCUUCUUUUAUUGUGCAAAAUAAAAGACCACCUAACCUUUAUUCAAUGUGUUUUUUAUGCAGUCUUUGGAGGAAUGUGCCAUGUUAACCGUCAUUUUAAAUGUUAUUUCAUAUCAUAACAUAAUUCCAAAAUCUUUGCUUAUUUAAAUUUAUGUAAUUUACAAAUAAGUUUCUGGUAGAUGUCUUCAUACUCAUGUAAAUCAAAAGAAAGAGUGCAAUUUACAUAUUAUUUAUGCACUUUUGUCUUUAGGAUAGAUGAGAGAGACAGAAAACUGGAAGGAGAUGGAGGCCAGCCUUGAACCAUAAUGGCUCUUCAUUGGUUCAAAUGUACAAGUGACAGUGCUGCUGUUUUGGCUCUCUUGGAUGAAUGGGGAUGGGUGGUAAGCGGCAGGCGAUGGAUGGGUUGGAGAACAGAACAAGAACAGAGAUUUGCAGUGCAUUGCAAAACAGCAAAGAGCAGCAGCAGUGACACGGGGGUUAUAAAUAGAUCUCCAUAUAUAGAGCCAGAGGCUACCUGGCUGGCGGAGGCCGAGCACUCGCUACAGUAA
This is a long non-coding RNA of Cyprinus carpio carpio, 1175 nucleotides long. The record is from Ensembl. NCBI's taxonomy places the organism in Eukaryota, Metazoa, Chordata, Actinopteri, Cypriniformes, Cyprinidae.